GGGAUUGUGGCUCAUUGGUAGAGCACUUGUCUAGCAUGUGUGAGGCACUGGGUUCGAACCCCAGCACCA
Molecule: transfer RNA, 69 nt
Filed under: Ictidomys tridecemlineatus (thirteen-lined ground squirrel)
Lineage: Eukaryota; Metazoa; Chordata; Mammalia; Rodentia; Sciuridae
Description: Spermophilus tridecemlineatus (thirteen-lined ground squirrel) tRNA
Rfam family: tRNA
About the family: Transfer RNA (tRNA) molecules are approximately 80 nucleotides in length. Their secondary structure includes four short double-helical elements and three loops (D, anti-codon, and T loops).
Source: Rfam by way of RNAcentral